GUCGGCACAACUAUGCUGUGAAUGGACCAGAGUGGGGAGAGUCUGAAAUAGGAGAUAGUGACGAUAGUAUGGAUAUAAGCCAAGGAAGUGUGAGAAUGAAGGAAAAGAGAGGAGAUGAUUUAGCAGGAGUCAGGUCGAAGAAAAUAAGAGGCAGUGGAGGUGUUGGAGAAGGAAACGAGGAAAGAGAGAAGGCAGAUGGCGACUUCAAAAUUAUAUUGAGAUUUGCGGAGGAGAAGGGAAUUUUGUCAAUGAGUCCGGUAAAGUUAACAACCGUUUUAAAAAAUCAGGUCGGUGAUAUUAAUAUGGCAAAGGUGUUGAGAGAUGGCAAUUUGUUGAUUGUUUGUAGAAGCGAGGAACAGAGACAGCGGGCUGGUAGGAUGAAAGAAAUAGGGAGGAAUAAAGUGGUGAGUGUAAAUUAUAUUGAAAGAGGAACUAAAUGGUGUAAAGGAGUGAUCUGGGGAGUGCCAGUCAGCGUUACUAUGGACGAAAUCAAGGCAAACUUAAAGGGAGGAAGUGUGAAGGGUGUUCGGAGGCUGCAGGUAACUCGUGAGGGAGUAAGGCUAGACAGCGAGUCUAUCAUGGUUGAAUUUGAAGAUGAAGUGCUUCCCAAAAAAGUAACUCUAGGCUUUAUGAGUUAUAAUGUAAGAGAAUAUGUACCAAAGCCAAUGAGAUGUUACAACUGUCAAAGAUUUGGUCAUACAGCCAAAACCUGCAAAGGCAGAAGAAGAUGUGCUAGAUGUGGAGAAGAUCAUGAUUAUGAGCAGUGUGGUCACAUGGAGCAACCCAGAUGUUGUAACUGUGGUGGAAAUCAUAGUGUGGCUUAUGGUGGCUGUGAAGUACUGAAAAGGGAAAAAGAAAUACAACAGGCGAGGAUUCAGGGUAAGGUGACGUAUGCAGAGGCUGUGAGGAUAGUAAGUCAGAGAGGAGGAAAUGGAGAAAGAAGCAGUACAGGUAAACAACUCGAUAAGGAUUCAGAUCAGGCAAAUGAAGAGAAGGUGAUGGUUGACAUUAAGAAACUAGUCACAUUCAUAGCAGGAGUAAUCAAUGCUACAAUGGGGAUCAAGUCUAAAACAG
This 1074-nucleotide long non-coding RNA is filed under the name Sinocyclocheilus anshuiensis. RNAcentral's name for it is "lncRNA (ENSSANG00000049551.1)". The record is from RNAcentral. Lineage: Eukaryota; Metazoa; Chordata; Actinopteri; Cypriniformes; Cyprinidae.